This 102-nucleotide transfer RNA is filed under the name Trametes cinnabarina. Its description in RNAcentral is "Pycnoporus cinnabarinus tRNA". It matches the Rfam family "tRNA". From Rfam's summary of the family: Transfer RNA (tRNA) molecules are approximately 80 nucleotides in length. Their secondary structure includes four short double-helical elements and three loops (D, anti-codon, and T loops). Lineage: Eukaryota; Fungi; Basidiomycota; Agaricomycetes; Polyporales; Polyporaceae. The record is from Rfam by way of RNAcentral.
GCCCGGAUAGCUCAGUUGGUUAGAGCGCAGGUCUCAUACUGCGGUAUGACCGCGACCACGCGGGUAGGCUGAGGUGGUGAGUUUCGAGCCUCAUUCCGGGCA